GUCCCUUCAGUAAGAGAUUACUCAUUUUGUGCAGUAACUGCAGUCCUUCAAGAUAUUUGUCUCUAUGGAUGCUCCACUUCAGGUGCACAUGUGCCUGUUGUGCCCUUGAGCAGAGAUUGUCAGUUAGCAGUAUCCAUUUGGCCUACUAAUGUGCCCUAUGCCUCAUUGUGCUGGAUACUGAGACUAUAUAGGGGUGUGUGGACAACCACCCCCCCCUCAGUUCCUUGUCCAACCAAACAUUCCCUAAGGAACAAGCCAAAGCAGAGGGGAAGGAAGCCAGGUAGCAGGGCACCCAAUAGGUAUGCACAUCUCAAAGAACCACAGUCAAUGCAUAAAGUGAGUAACCUCAACUUCCCUAUGCAUUCUCCAUUUCAGGUGACUUCUGAGCAGUAUCCCCGGAUGCAAGAGAAAGCUUCAGAAUAGAGUCCAGAAGUGAAGACAGCAUUGCAGAACCAAAGUGCUGCAUUGGAUCUGACAGUAUGGAUCAAGGCCUAAUGUUUCUCAACAUAUGUAUUGAAGCCCAUGUAGCAGCCCUACGUAUUUCAGAUACUGAUAAUCCAGGAUGUCUGAAAGUGGAACCAAAUCAAGCAGGAGGCAGCGAUGACACCACCAAUGUAAGAAUUUCUUCCAUUUCUGCACGCUAUGAGGCAGAGGACUGCUAGGUUUGGAUGAAAUGCAUAACUUGUGUCUUGUGACAAGAGAUAAUGGUCAGGAGCUUGGAUGACAGUUGGACACAUAGAUGAAGCAGAUGUGGAAGUUGCCAGUGCUUGCAGCUGUUGCUGCUCCUGGAUCCCUCUCUCUCCUCAGCAAUAUUCUUUUCAGAAUUAAACUGGUGUUUUUUCUUCUAGAGCGAUAAACAAUGGUUGGGAGUUAUUCUGUCCAACAAGUCUUCUGUCCUGUUGGGCAGCUUUCUGAUAUCUCUCUCAGCUGUCUCGUUCAAUUGCUUUGUAUAUACUCGUGGGGGA
Long non-coding RNA from Chelonoidis abingdonii (Abingdon island giant tortoise), 965 nucleotides. RefSeq lists it as uncharacterized. The record is from RefSeq and is a predicted model, not a curated record. NCBI's taxonomy places the organism in Eukaryota, Metazoa, Chordata, Testudines, Testudinidae.